RNAcentral lists this unclassified non-coding RNA (200 nucleotides) under soil metagenome. Its description in RNAcentral is "partial contains internal transcribed spacer 2 and large subunit ribosomal RNA". The record is from RNAcentral.
UCAUUAUCACUAUUCAAGCCCGGCUUGCUGUUGGACACUUUGUCGAUAAAAGACAUGUCCUAAAGAUAAUGACGGUGUCGUGAUCGACCCUAAAUGCAACGAGCUUUUUAUAGCACGCAUUGAAGUGGUCGGCCGACCCAGUCUUUAACCAUUUUCUUAAGGUUGACCUCGGAUCAGGUAGGAAUACCCGCUGAACUUAA